This is a non-coding RNA of Ochotona princeps (American pika), 122 nucleotides long. RefSeq annotates it as small Cajal body-specific RNA 17. NCBI's taxonomy places the organism in Eukaryota, Metazoa, Chordata, Mammalia, Lagomorpha, Ochotonidae. The transcript has a single exon. The record is from RefSeq and is a predicted model, not a curated record.
UGCCUGGACCCCCAAGUGCAGACUCCAAAUGAGCCCACAAUAUUUCCCUUAUAUGAUUAGGCCCCGUGGCCGGAGAGGAUUAUGAAAAUGAGGCAGGUGAAGUAGGGCCAGGGAACCAGGCG